RNAcentral lists this ribosomal RNA (583 nucleotides) under Thraustochytriidae sp. ANACC TC_026. Its description in RNAcentral is "bacterial SSU rRNA". It matches the Rfam family "Eukaryotic small subunit ribosomal RNA", at positions 415 to 1022 of the family's 1831-position model. The record is from RNAcentral. Lineage: Eukaryota; Bigyra; Thraustochytrida; Thraustochytriidae.
UCCANGAGGCAGCAGGCGCGUAAAUUACCCAAUGUGGACUCCACGAGGUAGUGACGAGAAAUAUCAAUGCGGGGCGCUUCGCGUCUUGCUAUUGGAAUGAGAGCAAUGUAAAACCCUCAUCGAGGAUCAACUGGAGGGCAAGUCUGGUGCCAGCAGCCGCGGUAAUUCCAGCUCCAGAAGCGUAUGCUAAAGUUGUUGCAGUUAAAAAGCUCGUAGUUGAAUUUCUGGUGUGGGAGCCCAGGCCUCGGUGCGAAUGCGCCUUGUAUUGCCUUGCGGCUCCUUUGCCAUCCUCGUUUUUCUUUUGAAGAACGUCAUUCACUGUAAUCAAAGCAGAGUGUUCCAAGCAGGCCGUAGGGCCGGUAUGUUUAUUAUGGGAUGAUCAGAUAGGACUCGGGUGCUAUUUUGUUGGUUUGCACAUCUGAGUAAUGAUUAAUAGGAACAGUCGGGGGUAUCCGUAUUUAGGAGCUAGAGGUGAAAUUCUUGGAUUUCCGAAAGACGAACUACAGCGAAGGCAUUUACCAAGCAUGUUUUCAUUAAUCAAGAACGAAAGUCUGGGGAUCGAAGAUGNUNACCCCCUAANAAA